This 487-nucleotide ribosomal RNA is filed under the name Ptyas fusca. Its description in RNAcentral is "partial 16S ribosomal RNA". It matches the Rfam family "Bacterial large subunit ribosomal RNA", at positions 1912 to 2612 of the family's 2925-position model. Lineage: Eukaryota; Metazoa; Chordata; Lepidosauria; Squamata; Colubridae. The record is from RNAcentral.
GUGAACAAUUAAACGGCCGCGGUACCCUAACCGUGCAAAGGUAGCAUAAUCAUUUGUCUACUAAUUAUAGACCUGUAUGAAAGGCAAAAUGAGGGCCUAACUGUCUCUUAUAAUAAAUCAAUUAAACUGAUCUCCUAGUAAAAAAGCUAAGAUUCCCACAUAAGACCAGAAGACCCUGUGAAGCUUAAACUAACCAUUAAACCCAAUAAUGACUACUUUAGGUUGGGGCGACCUUGGAAAAAACAAGAACUUCCAAACAUUACGGCCAUAAACCACACUUUAAAACUAGGCCGACAAGCCAAUAAACGACCCAGCAAUGCUGACAACUGAACCAAGUUACUCCAGGGAUAACAGCGCAAUCUUCUUCAAGAGCCCAUAUCAAAAAGAAGGUUUACGACCUCGAUGUUGGAUCAGGACAUCCUAACGGUGCAGCCGCUGUUAAGGGUUCGUUUGUUCAACGAUUAAUAGUCCUACGUGAUCUGAGUUC